CAGCUCCUGGGUCUCUGACACACCUCCGGUUACGACAGGGUAAAGCUCCUGGACAGUAAAGACACACAUUCAGUGGGAGCAGGUCCUCCAUGACCUUCGCAGUGUGAACGCUGACCUCAGACGGCUUCACCACAGCUGCAUUACCUGGACAGUUUGGUUUGCAGAGUGUGUUUAUGUGCAUUGGAGUAGUGGGCAUACUGUCAGUUCACCAUUUGUAAUCUAUAAAUAAAUAAACAAAUAAUAAUUAAACAGCUUGGGGGAAUCAAACAUAGAAGUAGACUUACUAAGGUGGUAUCUCCAAAUCCUGGAAAAAUCCUAAACUGUCCAAAAUCACGUAUGUAAAAUUAGGGCCCUCAAAGGUCUUGAGUAUGUCAAGUAUCUUGUUUUAGCUUCCUUCCUAAAACUCUCAUUCAUUGAGUGUUUUUGUGGUGUAAAAUUACGUCUGUCAUGCAGACUGUUUUCCAGCUGGUCAAUAGUUGCUGGUGAUAAACAAUAACCUCACUUCUGAGGUAGAAACUCGCUUGUGCACCCUCGCUGCCUGUUGUUGUCUAUUUGUUAUCAAACAAAUGCUGCAAAUGUCCUUUAUGAAGAAUAAAACCACACAACUUUAUCAGAAGUUACAUUCUGCUGUUUCCUUCCAUGUUUCUCAUCAUCUCUACAAAAUGCACUUCUCAGUAUCAGAGAAACUGCAUUUAAUUUGUCCAUUUUCUAAUAUACCUUGUAAACGUGAAUACACGUACAAAUACAGCCUUUUAUUCAACGCCGUAAACAGAUGAUGACUAAAUAAUCAAAUAUGUAAUUAAAUCUAAAUAAGUGAGUAUUGUUUUUUAUAAUCUAUAUCCUGCAUCAAUCAUGAGAAGCGACUUAUGACCUACUGGGCAGAUCUGACAGUCAUUGUAGGAUCUGAUAAUGCAGGAGCAAAGUAUGAAGUCCACACUGUACAAACACCACACGACAGGACUCCAGUCCUCCAGGCAGACAACAUUUGAGUCAAAACAGGUUUUAUCCGAUUUACUAAACAAAUGAACCUCCUACCUGCAGCAGCUCUUGUGGCACUAAUAUGUAAAACUACUACGGGGGAAAAGUAACAAACAACAACAGCAAAGAUUCAAGCAGAUAAAGAAACAGACAAAAGACUUAAAAAUACUGCUGUGUCAUGCUAAACAGUUGCAAGCAAACACUCCUCACCGAGGUUUGCAUCACAAAGUGAUCAGAGCUCGAUGUAGAGCCAAGCUCAGGGUGGCCUUUUUGGAGGAUCUUUAGAAACAGAAAUGAAUUAUGCAUGAGUUCAUUCAUUAUGUCAGAGCUGAGUGCUUCACUCAGAGUUUAACCUUUAACCUUUGAGCCAUCGCCGAUAGGAACAAUGCACAGAGUUGAGACCUGCAUGUUCACACGUGCAAACAUGCACAUAUAAUGCUGCAGAAAUACAUGACAGCAUGUGUGUGACAUACACACGUUACAGGACACUGAAUCUGUUGAUGAUCUUAUAAGAGCUGCAACGAUUAGUCGAUUAAUCAGUUAGUUGAUCUGAAAA
Thunnus maccoyii (southern bluefin tuna) is the source of this 1534-nucleotide long non-coding RNA. RefSeq lists it as uncharacterized. The transcript has 3 exons. The record is from RefSeq and is a predicted model, not a curated record. Lineage: Eukaryota; Metazoa; Chordata; Actinopteri; Scombriformes; Scombridae.